This 102-nucleotide microRNA precursor is filed under the name Culex quinquefasciatus (southern house mosquito). Its description in RNAcentral is "mir-12 microRNA precursor family". It matches the Rfam family "mir-12 microRNA precursor family". The record is from Rfam by way of RNAcentral. Lineage: Eukaryota; Metazoa; Arthropoda; Insecta; Diptera; Culicidae.
UCGGAUUGAGUAUUACAUCAGGUACUGGUGUCGAUAUUCGAGACGGAAAGCAUCGAUUUCCUAGUUGCCAACUUACCAGUACUUAUGUUAUGCUCUCUUCGC